This 2813-nucleotide long non-coding RNA is filed under the name Mus musculus (house mouse). RNAcentral's name for it is "long non-coding RNA chr6:124686773-124689586". Lineage: Eukaryota; Metazoa; Chordata; Mammalia; Rodentia; Muridae. The record is from RNAcentral.
GGUCUGGUGAGAUGGUUCAGUGGCUGAGAACACUGCUGCUCUUCCAGAGGUCAUGAGUUCAAUUCCCAGCAACCACAUGGUGGCUCACAACCAUGUGAUCUGAUGCCCUCUUCAGGCAGGCGGAUGUAUAUGCAGCAGAGCACUCAUACAUUAAAUAAAUAAAAUUUAAAAAAAUAAAUAAAAUAAAAACUGGGGAGGUUGAGGCUGUUAGAACACCUGGGGAGCACACUCAGGACCACAGGUUCAGUCCCAAGCAUCACAAGAAGAGAAAGGAUGUCGUGGAUGGCCUGGGCUGAAAACUCAUCCCAGAAUAUGGCAGACAUAAAGGAGCAGCCGGUGUGUAUCUGUGUGUGUGUAUGGUGCGUAUGUGUGCAUGUGUGUGCACAUGUAUAUGUAUAUCUCUUAAGUGACACAACUCUGGGAGCCCUCUGCCUCAUCCUGCCGUCUUAAUUACGAUUCAGAGUGUCGUGGGAGGUUUCAUUGCAGUGUUUGUUAGAACUGAGAGACAAAGUCUGGACAGGAUACAACUGUAAUCUGACAUCUGGGCAGCUGGCUCAGGAGGAUUAAGAGUUUGAGUUAAACAGAGUUCCUGGCCUGUCAGAGCUAAAUAGAAAGAUUCUGUCUUGAUGUUUGGCCAAGGUGAUUGAUUUGCUGUGCAGUCCGUCAAACAGAAUUACGGCAGCUUAGUUUGAUAGUUUUAAUUGGCUUUACUUUUAACUCGUAACAAUAAAAGGGCUGGCAAGGGGGCUCAGCACGUGUAAGCACUUGGGGCUCAAGCCUGGACACCAGAGUGAGACCCCUGGGAUCCAAGUGAAGGUGGACACGGAGAACUAGUGACAGUCUUUGUUCUGAGCACCACACAAGCACACAUGCAUGUGCACAGCUUACGCACAGUAAUCAUAGUAUAACAUUUUUUUGAAGAUUAGGGAAUACUUCGUUCUAUAAAAUAGAAUAUCAAGUGGAGAACACAUGAAGAGUGGUUUUUGGUUUUUUUUUUUUUAAUUGUUUUCAGAAUUUGAGUUUUUGUUGUUGUUGUUUGGUUUUUUUCUGCACAAGUGUUUUGCCUACAUGUAUGUAUAUGCACCGUGUGCAUGCAUGGUGCCCACUGAGGUCAGAAGAAGCCAUCAGAGUCCCUGGAACUGGAGUUAGAAAUGGCUGUGAACGACCAUGUGGGUUCUAGGAACUGAACCUGGGUCCCAUGCAAGAAUAAGUGCUUGUCCUUCGCCACUGGGCCAUCUUUCCAGCCCUGGAAGGGAGAUCGUAACAGAAAAGACCUAGAGAGAGCAGAUGCAGGCUGGAAACUGGUCCUUUCAGUUGGCUCUCUAACCCCAAUGUGUUCUUACGGGCUUGAUCUAGUUUAUUUCAACUGGCUCUCAGCGGCCUCCAAGCAGGGAGCUCCAGGAGUCAGGAGGUAAAUGGAGCUUGCUGAGAACUUAGAGCUGUGUCAGGGACAGGUUCACAUGAGUACAAGACCCUGAGAGUCCCUUCCUGGUUACAUCACAGAGUCUGGGCACCUCCUGCUUACUACCACACUGGGCUGGAUGGAGCUGUGCCUUGGGGCAGUGGCUGACCACUCCCUGUGCUGCAGUUGCUGACCUCGUAAGAGUGGUCAGGAGUCUGAAAGUGACAGGGUGGCAGGUGGCCCCUGGAACACCUGCUCUGUCCUAAGGUCCUGUUCCAUCCCUUGUGCAGGUUGCUCCUGCACACCAACAAGGUCCUUUUGAGGUUUAUUUUUACGUUGGGGAAUCUGCAAGUGUAUGAACCCGUGUUUCACAUACUUCCUGUUUUCUUGUCUUUACCGCUUCCUCCCUGCAAGUAUCUUAGUCACCCCUUAGGAAUAAACAGUGUUCCUAGCAAUCCUGCCAUGUGUAUUCCUCUUAAUGCUUAGCGCAGUGCUGCUAAUUUAAUAUUACUGGCUAUGGAGAGGGUAUUGUUUUCAACCGUCCUAAAAGAUACUGUUCGAGACCAGUGUGCAACAAAGUAGGCAGCAAUCUCUGCCUUCAAAGACUCAGACAGACAGACAGACAGACAGACAGACAGUAUGUUAGAGAGCAGUGAGUGCCUAUGGGAGAAUUAGGCAGAGCACAGAAAGUAUAGCAUGCCUUGCUGGGGUGGUUAUAAGGAUGGAACGGUACAAUGAGAUGCUCAGAGAAGACCUCACUGUGGCAUUCUACCAAAUAUUUGAAGUGCUAAAGAGCCUUAUGGAAAGAUCACUCCAUGCAGGGAACUUCAUAUCAUAAUAUGAAGGCUCUAAAACUGGCCCUCUUGGAACAUUCCAGAAAGGGGUAGUUUACUUCCAGGGCAGAAAGGUGAAGGUCAGGAAACAAGAUGAAUCAGAAAAAAAAAUGGGCCAGAGAGGAUGACCGUACACUGAAUGUUCUGGUUGGUCUUUGCCCUGGGAUUAGCCAUCACAGGGUUUCCAGCAUAAGAUUGACUCUGGAUAGCAUCACUAUCUGACUCAGGACUGAAUCCUCUGGAUGCUGCAAUAGCAUCCAGAGUCAAAGCCGCAUUGAUGCUGGUCAGAAGGUGACUAAUUAUAAUGGAGCCUUGACCUGGGGAAGCAGCAGAGGUGAAGAGAUGUGGGCAGAAACUUGAUUUACUUUCAAGGUGGACCUACAGAAUUUGCUGAUUCGGGGAAGGAAGCUAAAGACGAUAGCAGGAUUUUAGAUCUGAGAAACAGAAAAGUUGCAGUCUGGAAUGGGGAAGGGGCCGGUCAUGGUGGAGCACGCCUUUGAUCCCAGCACUUGGGAGGCAGAGGCAGAUGGCUCUCUGAGUUUGAGGCCAACCAAGACUGCAUAGUGAGACCUUGUCUU